This 71-nucleotide small RNA is filed under the name Marmota monax (woodchuck). Lineage: Eukaryota; Metazoa; Chordata; Mammalia; Rodentia; Sciuridae. The record is from RNAcentral.
GCUGGGUGUGGUGGUGCACACCUGUAAUCCCAGCCACUCUGGAGGCUGAAGAAGGCAGAUCCCAAGUUCAA